UACGGAGGAUCCUAGUGUUAUCCGGAUUUAUUGGGUUCAAAGGGAGCGUAGGCGGGAGGUCAAGUCAGCUGUGAAAUGUAUCUGCUUAACGGGUACACUGCAGUUGAAACUGGUUUUCUUGAGUGCGUAAGAGGCAGGCGGAAUUCGUUGUGUAUCGGUGAAAUGCUUAGAUAUGACGAGGAACUCCUAUUGCGAAGGCAGCUUGCUGGGUCGUUACUGACGCUGAUGCUCGAAGGUGCGGGGAGCAAACAGGAUUAGA
This 259-nucleotide ribosomal RNA is filed under the name uncultured prokaryote. RNAcentral's name for it is "partial 16S ribosomal RNA". It matches the Rfam family "Bacterial small subunit ribosomal RNA", at positions 524 to 782 of the family's 1533-position model. The record is from RNAcentral.